Molecule: ribosomal RNA, 475 nt
Filed under: uncultured bacterium
Lineage: Bacteria
Description: bacterial SSU rRNA
Rfam family: Bacterial small subunit ribosomal RNA
Source: RNAcentral
ACUCCUACGGGAGGCAGCAGUAGGGAAUCUUCCACAAUGGACGAAAGUCUGAUGGAGCAACGCCGCGUGAGUGAAGAAGGGUUUCGGCUCGUAAAAACUCUGUUGUUAAAGAAAGAACAUAUCUGAGAGUAACUGUUCAGGUAUUGACGGUAUUUAACCAGAAAGCCACGGCUAACUACGUGCCAGCAGCCGCGGUAAUACGUAGGUGGCAAGCGUUGUCCGGAUUUAUUGGGGCGUAAAGCGAGCGCAGGCGGUUUUUAAGUCUGAUGUGAAAGCCUUCGGCUCAACCGAAGAAGUGCAUCGGAAACUGGGAAACUUGAGUGCAGAAGAGGACAGUGGAACUCCAUGUGUAGCGGUGAAAUGCGUAGAUAUAUGGAAGAACACCAGUGGCGAAGGCGGCUGUCUGGUCUGUAACUGACGCUGAGGCUCGAAAGUAUGGGUAGCAAACAGGAUUAGAUACCCUGGUAGGAUAGCG